UACCGCAUGAGCCUCGCAUGGGGAGACCGGGAAAGGUGGCCUCUUAACAAUGCCAUCGCGCGAGGAUGAGCCCGCGGGCCAUUAGCUAGUUGGUGGGGUAACGGCCCACCAAGGCGACGAUGGCUAGCGGGUCUGAGAGGAUGAUCCGCCACAUUGGGACUGAGACACGGCCCAGACUCCUACGGGAGGCAGCAGUGGGGAAUAUUGGGCAAUGGCCGAAAGGCUGACCCAGCGACGCCGCGUGCGGGAGGAAGCCCUUCGGGUCGUAAACCGCUGUCAGGGGGGAAGAACCGCGAGGAGUCGAAUAGGCUUCUCGUCUGACGGUACCCCCAGAGGAAGCACCGGCUAACUCCGUGCCAGCAGCCGCGGUAAUACGGAGGGUGCAAGCGUUGUUCGGAAUCACUGGGCGUAAA
RNAcentral lists this ribosomal RNA (413 nucleotides) under uncultured bacterium. RNAcentral's name for it is "bacterial SSU rRNA". It matches the Rfam family "Bacterial small subunit ribosomal RNA", at positions 167 to 564 of the family's 1533-position model. The record is from RNAcentral.